This 814-nucleotide long non-coding RNA is filed under the name Nicotiana benthamiana. RNAcentral's name for it is "long non-coding RNA (NBEN_LNC004174)". The record is from RNAcentral. Lineage: Eukaryota; Viridiplantae; Streptophyta; Magnoliopsida; Solanales; Solanaceae.
AUUACCAAUAUCUUGUUUAAGUUGUUCUAACUCAGACUUGUCAUGAGACAGGGCAGCAUCAUUUUUCUGCUGCUCAGCUAAAAGUUUAUUAAUUUUCUGUUCCAUCUGUGGGAAAAUCUAAGUGAAAGCAUAAAAGGUAAAAUGAAUAUAAUGAACAUCCAUUAAACACAUGAUAAAUAAAGCUGGAGACACCAAGAAAGAAGAAGUACAUGACCUUGUCGUCGCCUGUAACCUUUUAAUCCAUACAAAAAGAUUGCUUGCAACCCUUCCGAAGCGAAAGGAAAAAAGCUAUGCAUGUUCAGUAGAACAAAAAAGGAAAUUUUUGUUCCAAUUUAUAUAAAGCAAAAACUCUGAAUGACAUAUACAUUAGUGUUGCACAUAAUGAAGUUACACCAAGUCUAAGUGCCCAUUAACUGCUUUAAUCCAUUUGAAGCUCAAGUGAGUAGAUGUUCUAAUAGUUUCAGUCAGACCAUACAUAUGAAGUAAUAAAACAUUCUGCAAUCUUAAGUAUGAAAACUAAGCUUCAAAUUAUAGAAACACAUUUAAUCACUUUCCAAAUAACAUUUCUCCAUGAAAGAAUGAGUAGAGUACAAAGUAACUCUUAUUGCGUAGCUAAAUCUUUUGUUCCCUCAGUUGGACUUCAAUUAACUUGCACCUUGAUUAUAGAAACACAUCCAAUCACUUUCCAAAUAACAUUUCUCCAUGAAAGAAUGAGUAGAGUACAAAGUAACUCUUAUUGCGUAGCUAAAUCUUUUGUUCCCUCAGUUGGACUUCAAUUAACUUGCACCUUGAUGCUACGAUCAGCCGUAUGAAG